UGGGGAAUAUUGGACAAUGGGCGAAAGCCUGAUCCAGCCAUGCCGCGUGUGUGAAGAAGGUCUUCGGAUUGUAAAGCACUUUAAGUUGGGAGGAAGGGCAGUAAGCGAAUACCUUGCUGUUUUGACGUUACCGACAGAAUAAGCACCGGCUAACUCUGUGCCAGCAGCCGCGGUAAUACAGAGGGUGCAAGCGUUAAUCGGAAUUACUGGGCGUAAAGCGCGCGUAGGUGGUUCGUUAAGUUGAAUGUGAAAGCCCCGGGCUCAACCUGGGAACUGCAUCCAAAACUGGCGAGCUAGAGUAGGGCAGAGGGUGGUGGAAUUUCCUGUGUAGCGGUGAAAUGCGUAGAUAUAGGAAGGAACACCAGUGGCGAAGGCGACCACCUGGGCUCAUACUGACACUGAGGUGCGAGAGCGUGGGGAGCAAACAGG
Molecule: ribosomal RNA, 429 nt
Filed under: Pseudomonadota bacterium
Lineage: Bacteria; Pseudomonadati; Pseudomonadota
Description: Proteobacteria bacterium partial 16S ribosomal RNA
Rfam family: Bacterial small subunit ribosomal RNA
Source: RNAcentral